RNAcentral lists this long non-coding RNA (572 nucleotides) under Ananas comosus (pineapple). RNAcentral's name for it is "long non-coding RNA (ACOM_LNC018289)". Lineage: Eukaryota; Viridiplantae; Streptophyta; Magnoliopsida; Poales; Bromeliaceae. The record is from RNAcentral.
AACAUAUUUUACCUACAAGAUUAUUUAUUUUAUUUUAAAAAAUUUACUAAAAAGUGAAAUAUGUUAGUUUAUUCUAGACGUUGAAUCGCAGUUUUUAUUUACCAAAUAUUUAAAAUUUUCAAGUAAAUCAAAAGUAUAUUUAAAAUAAGGGAAAACUUCAAAAACCCCCCUGUGAUUUCGUAGUUUCUCACUUUGCCCCCCAGUGGUUUAAAAUGUAUCAAUUUGCCCACUGUGGUUUCUUUUUUUUCUUUUUCUUAUCAAUUUCAUUACAAAUCAGUAAUAAAGUUAAAAUUAAAGGGUAGUAAAGUGAAUAUUUGAUAAAUCUAGAUGGGUAUCUGAAGUUUUUUGUAUAUAAUUUAAUGAAAUAUUAACGAAAAAGAUACUGAAAAGAUAAAAACAAAAUCACAGGGGGGCAAUUUGAUACAUUUUAAAGCACAGGGGGGCAAAGUGAGAAACUACGAAUCCACAGGUUUUUUUUGAAGUUUUUCCUUAAAAUAAAGAAUUCAUGCAUCCAACCAGAACCUGAGUCCACUGGCUAAUCAAUAUUUUCUAUAUUACAUUACAUCAUAUAU